RNAcentral lists this ribosomal RNA (228 nucleotides) under uncultured Actinomycetales bacterium. RNAcentral describes it as "partial 16S ribosomal RNA". It matches the Rfam family "Bacterial small subunit ribosomal RNA", at positions 109 to 334 of the family's 1533-position model. Lineage: Bacteria; Bacillati; Actinomycetota; Actinomycetes; Actinomycetales. The record is from RNAcentral.
AGUAACACGUGAGUAACCUGCCCCCUUCUUCUGGAUAACCGCAUGAAAGUGUGGCUAAUACGGGAUAUUCUGCGCCUGCUGCAUGGUGGGUGUGGGAAAGAUAUUGUUUCGGUGGGGGAUGGGCUCGCGGCCUAUCAGCUUGUUGGUGGGGUGAUGGCCUACCAAGGCGGUGACUGGUAGCCGGCCUGAGAGGGUGGACGGUCACACUGGGACUGAGACACGGCCCAG